CCCAAGUAGGCUGGUAAGAGGGAGUUUCAGUGUUCGCUACCAUCUUUCAGAGGCCUCUGAGCAGAUCUUCAGCUGAUUCUUCCUCAUCACCAGCAACAGAAGAGCCCUGGAAUUCUGGCCAAGCUGGUGGAUGACGGGAGCUGAGCAAGGCAGUACCCCAGCCAUCAUGAGCCUGGGAGAACCAGAGGGGAAGAGAAAGGGCUAAGUCUGAGAGGAAGCAAGAACCCUGGAUUCUUGGAGAUACCUGGUCGAGGCAAAUUAUGAGUUCACUGUCAUCUCCAAGCCAAAGGGAGCCAACCUUGGAAGCUCCCUGCUCUGACCUUUUGCUGGCUGAAGUCCGAAUGCUAAGACUGACCUCAGGAUGAGGCAGCAGUCUGUAUGCUGAUCUCUGCUCCAGUGUCAAUGCACAGGCCUCUCCAGGAAUGAGAGUCUACAUUUACAACUUGGUGAGGUGGGACCUAGAACACAUGGCUUCUAAGGUCACCUCCAGUUUCAGGCAGGUGGUGUGACUUGGGAAGUCCCUGGGAGUUUUGACCAAUUUACUCCUGGGAGAGUGAAUUAG
RNAcentral lists this long non-coding RNA (562 nucleotides) under Mus spicilegus (steppe mouse). RNAcentral's name for it is "lncRNA (ENSMSIG00000005573.1)". The record is from RNAcentral. Lineage: Eukaryota; Metazoa; Chordata; Mammalia; Rodentia; Muridae.